GGGCCCUAAAUGUGUUGGGCUGAUAUAUAGCCCACAGUUUAUUGGGCCCACUUGAGGACCAAACAUUAGCUCUUUAGGCCCAUUUUUUAGGCCCAGUCGUUGGGGAAGCCCGACGAUGGCGAGCAGUCCGCCGCAACAGCCGACGACGGCGGCGGGAGGCGCCGGCGUUCUUCCCGCCGCCGGCGCGCGCGGUGCCCGUCGCCCUGGACGCGAUCCUGUCGCGGCGCGUGGGAGCUCGGUUUCCCGCCGCCGACGAUGUCUCCCUCUGCCCGCCUCGCCGCGCCGCGCCUCGCCGCGCAUCCGAGGACGGGGACAAGCCCAAUCAAUGCCCUGCCGUGGCGGCCUCGCCGCCGGCCACCUCUGCAACCUCGCUUCUCCUGGUAAGAAACCAUUUAGUCUGACUUGCCUGACAACUUCGACAACAAUGCUUAGCACACUGAAGUUGAGGGGGUCUUCUUUGAGCUUUCUUCUCUCGGUGAUGCAGAUGGCAAUGACAAAGAUGGUCAGGUAGGAGAGUUGUGACAAAAGUGUACUCUCGAGCAGUCUGAUUCCCUGGUUCUCUGCAUUACUAUCCUUAGUAGUGGAAUUCUCUUCAAAUGGGAACCACGUCGUGUACGGAGGUAGAUACCUGGAGGCAAGAUGAAGCAGAAUAUGAGACAACAAACGCUGCUUAACGAAAUGCGAUCAGAAAGUCACCCUUGGGUGGAUUAUCAUCUUCGGAUGUUCAAAAGCAGAUCAUUAUUGAGAAAUAAUUCAGGGAAGGAGUUGCAGCUCUGCUUGUCUAAGGUUUGAUCUUUCAGGUGACGUGCAAGAACAUUCUGGUGCUUGGUUAUAUUCUCUGUAAAUGAUGCGACAAUAAGAUGAAAACAAUGGCUCAACUGACUGGAAGCUUGGAUUCACAAGCAUAUGGCCUUGAGAGAACAAUAUGGGAACAACUGCUGGCCGGUGAAGAAAUUCCUUUGCACGCGCUACGACAAUCGGCAGGAGAUAUCACCCUGCUUUAGCCAUGCAGGUCAUUUUCAGAGGCACACAUCCCAGUUCCUAAACCAGGCUGCAAAAGUUGACGAAUGACGACUACUGUGCUCCACUAUUUUGUACUCCAUGCAUCAACUGGGGAAAGAUGGCGAAUUUUAUGGAAUUGCAUGUGAAAAUUGAGCCAUAAUCAUCUGGAAGAACCAAAGAUUGGAACAAAUUCUAGCAACUAUGCGCCUCCCAUUUUGACAUGAACAAAAUUAGAAGUAAUAGUCAUCAACCUCCCAGGUGACCAGAUUUGCUGAGAACGCGGAGAGCAUAUUCUCAGGUUGACAGAAGGUGUGGCAUGUGAUGCAUGCAGGCUUUUGAAUGGAGACUUGGAAUAUUAAUACUCCUACCUUUCAGCAAAUUGAUUGUGGUGUUCUUGCAAGUUGAAGUGGUGUGCUGCGUUGUGGUUUCUGUGAAGCUAGGAGGAGAGCUAUCCUUUUCUUCUUUGGCAAAAAUAAAAAAAAAUCUGUCAAAAAUCUAGGAGAAAGGGUCAACGCACGGUCAACUCCUACCUAUGGUCACGAACUGGGAAAUGGGACAGUGUUUUGACGUUUGAAACUACUCUCCAUCACAUGCAUCUACCUACCUAAGGCCAUUCUCAACCCAAUAAUUAGGAUGAUGUCCAUAGCAUUAAAUAAGUUGCUACUUAGGACAAAAAAUAAUAUGCAAGUGAAUAAAUGAGGAAAGAGAGACAUGGUUUCUACACAACAUCCAAGACAUCAUGUGAGAUAAGUAGCAUUAAAUUGAAGUAUGAAAUAGUGGUGUUUGCAUUGGAAGAGUAGUGUCUAGUACUUCUUGAUGAUGUAGAGUUUAUGGAAACCAUGUCUAGUGUUAUGGGUUGGGACUGUCCUACCACAGAAAAGAAACAUGUGUCCUCUUGCUGUGGCCGAUGAGCAAAUUAAUUAGGAUACGAAGAAUUAUUGACGAGUUUAUAGUGUUUUGAUGUGCUUUUGUCCGUGACUAUUACGUACGGAGAAGGGAAGAACCGAAGAAGAUUCCAUUGCAGAAGAGAACCCACUUGCCACCGGCCGUUACAUCUCCUAUCAUCACUCGUUCACUAUUAGUACUUGUAAUUUAAUUUGUCAUUAUGAUAUGACCAUCCGAUAUUUUACUCAAUAAUUCAAGUGGUUUUGCAGUUUCCA
Molecule: long non-coding RNA, 2162 nt
Organism: Oryza sativa Japonica Group (Japanese rice)
Lineage: Eukaryota; Viridiplantae; Streptophyta; Magnoliopsida; Poales; Poaceae
Source: RefSeq, a predicted model, not a curated record